GUCUCAGUAGCGUAAUGGUUAACGCACAGCCCCGGUUAAGCUCAAAACGCGAGUUCGAAUCCUGCCUGAGAUG
This 73-nucleotide transfer RNA is filed under the name Nippostrongylus brasiliensis. It matches the Rfam family "tRNA". Rfam says of the family: Transfer RNA (tRNA) molecules are approximately 80 nucleotides in length. Their secondary structure includes four short double-helical elements and three loops (D, anti-codon, and T loops). The record is from Rfam by way of RNAcentral. Lineage: Eukaryota; Metazoa; Nematoda; Chromadorea; Rhabditida; Heligmosomidae.